AGCAGGGCAGAUCCAUUUUCUGCCACCGAAUACAUUAGCAUGGGAUAAUGGAAUAGGACCCUGUCCUCCUAUUUUCAGUUGGUUUUGGCAGCGCGAGGACUAGGGUAAUGAUUAAUAGGGAUAGUUGGGGGCAUUAAUAUUUAAUUGUCAGAGGUGAAAUUCUUGGAUUUAUGAAAGAUUAACUUCUGCGAAAGCAUCUGCCAAGGAUGUUUUCAUUAAUCAAGAACGAAAGUUAGGGGAUCGAAGACGAUCAGAUACCGUCGUAGUCUUAACCAUAAACGAUGCCGACCAGCGAUUAGGAGACGUUGAAUACAAAACACCACCAUCGGCGCGGUCGUCCUUGGCGUCGG
Molecule: ribosomal RNA, 350 nt
Filed under: Acanthamoeba sp.
Lineage: Eukaryota; Discosea; Longamoebia; Acanthamoebidae
Description: SSU rRNA
Rfam family: Eukaryotic small subunit ribosomal RNA
Source: RNAcentral